CUGAGAGAAGGCUGGCUCCUGUGCUCUGCACUCUGGCCCAGGGCUGCUGUUCUGCUGGCUGACGCCCUGUCCCCACCCCAGCAUGUCCUGCUUCCAGGCUGCUUGACCCGGCUGGGCUGGGUGCCUGUUCCCCACCCCUGCCCCAGUCUCCUGGGCCCCAUCCCAGCCUGGCCCGUCAUAACUGCCGAUCCCCAGAACUGUCCCUGGUGUGCAGCAGGCAUGCAGGGUGGGCCUGCAGAGCGAGGUCCCAGCACCGGCGGCAUCUGGUGCUGAACACAGGAAGAUGGGAUGUUUGCUGAAUGAAUGCACGUCCCUGAUGAGGCCUGGACUUCGACGGAUGAAGGGGCUGGUGGGGUGGAGUCAGGGUUCCCCGAAAGCCCUGGGUGGAGAGGGUCCCCAGAGUGGGGUCAGACAGCCUGUGAGGCUCACAGUCCUGCCCUGCAGCCCUUUGGUUUGGACCAGGUGCCACCUCCCCAUCUCCCUGGCCCCAGCCCUCAGCUAACCAGCCCAUCCCACCGCCUGGAAAUGGGCCAGAGGGCAGUGGCGACCUGCCCAAGUCCACACGCAGGCCACAGGCCACACUCUGAACCCCGGGGCAGGCUCAGACGGGCUUUGCUCAGCCUGCCUUAGGGCAUAGAGGGAGACUGAGUCAGGGCCCUCCCAGGAAGGAUGGGUGUGCGGCCUUCCACGCUCAGGACUUUGGGCCACGAUGUCCACCCCAGGGUCUUCGCAGAGCAGCGGGAAAGGACCCUGCUGGCAGGCACAGUGCCCGUCUCUGCCCCCGGCUCUGCUCCAACCGCCCCCAGCCCAAGGGCGGCACGCCGCAGGGGGUCUGUGAUCCCCCCACGUCCCCGGCUCCUUUCACCCACACACCACACUGGGAGGCGGCAGCCCGAGGGCAGGUUUACUGACAACCUCACGGGACACAAGCAGGCUGGGGACAGGACAGCGACAGGCUCCGGCGGCGGCGCUACCUGCGGUACCAGAUCUGCAGCCUCCGCUCCCGCUUGAUCUUCCUCUGCAGCUGCAGGAUGCCAUAGAGCAGGGCCUCGGCCGUAGGUGGGCAGCCUGCAGGGACCUUGCCUCAGUCUCGCUUCCCGCAGCCGGAGCCCGCGUGACCGCGUGCACAGCGCAGCCGGCUCGGCUUUGGAGGGGUCUCCCGGGCCGGCCUCUGAAGGUGGAGGCUGACAGCCCUGGGUGGGCGCAGUGCCAGGGGCUGGGAGCCGGCGCAGGGGAGGUCCCUGCAGGAAGAGUGGGGUCCUCCCCUGGGCAAGGCCCCACUGCCCUCCACCCGUGGCUCAUCCCGGGCUGUCACAGGGACCUCUCGGACAAGACGCUGACCUCACUAACCCGGCCCCCGGCCCCAGCCCUCAGGACUCCAUGGGGGCCAGCGCUCAGCAGACGUGGGGAGCAGGGCCCGGGGCUGCCCUGGACGGAGAUGGAGGCAGGGAGGCUGGGCGGAGGGAGGGGAGGUGGCCCAGAGCCCGGGCAUCCCACUAGGACCCGAUGACCCUCUUUCUGAGCCUCAAGCCAGAGCUCUUUGCUGGGGAUCCCCCAGUCCCGGCUGCCACGCAGGUUCAGAGCAAAGGGCUUGAGCAAGAGGACGAAGCCCAGGGCCCAACGGGGACAGCGGGAGUGGAAACAGGGGAAGACGCCAGGGGCAUGGGCUGAGCUCCUGACCCCGGGAUGGACCUCUCUGUGCUGUCAAGUCACGGGGAGGCCCAGGCUGCCCUCUCCACUGCCCCCGGGGUGACCUGAACCGUGCAGAACGCUGAACAAAUCAACGCCCUUUCCAGGGAAGCGGAAUCCAAAGUCAGAGCCUGUUCCUCCACUUUUGAGAGGCACCAGGAUGUGCCUCUCGCUUGCCCAAACCCCCAGACUCGGGACACAGGGCUGGGCUCUCUGCGCAUGAGCUAAUGCCGCACGCAGCACAGGGUGGCCAAGGACAGGACUCUGUCCCCUGUCCCACAUGAGCACCACCUCCAAGCCUGCCUACCGUGGACCACUGUCAAGGUGAACGCCCGGGGGGGUGGCCCUCGUGGGACCACGUGAGGUGCAAGAGUCCCACGGGAUCACCAGAUAUAAAGAAUGUUCCCGGUGCGAUGUGAAUUUCAGGUAGGACCAUAUGAAACUGCUGUAAACCAGGCGAGUGUCAGGAAUUCCACUCAGCUUCCCCUGCUCCCUCUGAUCCCUCUGAUGCCUGAAUACAUCGCCGACUUCUCACAGGGGACACACUCCACUAAGAGGCAGCGCUCCGAGUCGGCCCAUCCAUAGGAUGGGGGAGCCCGCCGUCUGCUGGGGGUGUGGGACUCCCUCACAGGGGCCGCCGGGCUCCGUGUGGCGCUGGCCCUGUCUCCAGCUUCCUCGUGGGCGGUGCGGUCCCGGCCCUACCUGGGAUGUAGAUGUCCACGGGCACGAUGCGGUCGCAGCCCCUCACCACCGAGUAGGAGUAGUGGUAGUAGCCUCCUCCGUUGGCGCAGCUGUGGGGGAGGCACUGUGAGGGGAGUGUGCCGAGGACCCGCCUGCCCACCCUCCCUCCUCGCAGCUGUGGGGGAGGCGCCGUGAGGAGCACCUGCCCAGGACCCGCCCUGUCCACCCUCCCUCCACGAGGCCUCGCCCCAUCCCCACCCGCCUUCAACUGCAGGCCAGGCACCUACGAGGCUGGAACUUGUCACGGAGAAGCAAUGAGCAAACACGCACAGGCUCCCAGAGCCUCUGUGGGACCCGUGGGGCGCAAGCUCACACGUGGCUGAUAACUCGGGGAAAAGUGCUCCCCUCCCGAGGGGGCUCCUGACCACCGAUUCCCGGGGCUGGGACGUGUCAGAUCACAUGUGUCAACAAAAAGCCACUUCAGACAGCCACAGUGCCAACACCCAGCCCCUGUCUAUGGGGCGGCUGAGCCUCACCCUCGCCUGAUUCCGGCUCUGUCAGUGAGGCGCUGGGGUCCACCCGGGGCAGGGAGCUGGAAACCCCAGGAGACCACACAGACUCCACUCCCAGCACUGCUUCCCACAGCCGUAAAAAUGGACAUACCCUGAAUGCCCAGCAGUGGGAGACGGUUCUGAAAACUAUGGAAUAUUCUAAUUAACUGUUUAGAAUUAGAUUAGUAAUGUGUCCACACAGUGGGAUAUUAUUCAGCCAAGAAAAGGGGCGAGGCUCGGACACAGGCCACAGCACGGAUGCACCUUGAGGACGUCGCGCUCAGUGAGAGACGCCGGACACAGAAGGCCACGCGGCGUGUGAUCCUGUUUCUGUGAAAUGUCCAGGAUGGGCCCAUCCACAGAGACAGGGAGGGGAGGUGUGGGCACCGGGGCUCGGAAGGGGAUGCAGAGUGACUGCUGAUGGGGACAGCGUUUCAUUUGGGGGUGAUGAGAAUGUUCUGGAAUUAGAGGUGGUGGCCUAACAACCACUGAGCUGCUCACUUUAAAAGGGUAAACUUAGCAAGACCUGAUCUCUACAGAAAUUUUAAAAAGUAGGCACAGUGGAGUACAUCUGUAAUCCCAGCACUCUGAGAGGCUAAGGUUGGGCGACCGCUUGAGCCCAGGAGGUCAAGGCUGCAGUGAGCUAUGACUGCACCACUGCACUCCAGCCUGGGCAACUCAGUGAGACUCUGUCUCU
RNAcentral lists this non-coding RNA (3618 nucleotides) under Pan troglodytes (chimpanzee). The record is from RNAcentral. Lineage: Eukaryota; Metazoa; Chordata; Mammalia; Primates; Hominidae.